CAGCUAGUUGGUAGGGUAAGAGCCUACCAAGGCAUAGAUCGGUAGCCGGCCUGAGAGGGCACACGGCCACACUGGCACUGAAACACGGGCCAGACUCCUACGGGAGGCAGCAGUGGGGAAUCUUGCACAAUGGGGGCAACCCUGAUGCAGCGACGCCGCGUGAGCGAUGAAGCCCUUCGGGGUGUAAAGCUCUUUCGGCAGGGAAGAUUAUGACGGUACCUGCAGAAGCAGCUGCGGCUAACUACGUGCCAGCAGCCGCGGUAAUACGUAGGCAGCGAGCGUUGUUCGGAGUUACUGGGCGUAAAGGGUGUGUAGGCGGUUCUUUAAGUUUGGUGUGAAAUCUCCCGGCUUAACCGGGAGGGUGCGCCGAAUACUGAGGGACUAGAGUGCGGGAGAGGAAAGUGGAAUUCCUGGUGUAGCGGUGAAAUGCGUAGAUAUCAGGAGGAACACCGGUGGUGUAGACGGCUUUCUGGACCGUAACUGACGCUGAGACACGAAAGCGUGGGUAGCAAACAGGAUUAGAUACCCUGGUAGUCCACGCCCUAAACGAUGCAUAUUUGGUGUGGGUCAUUCAUUUGAUCCGUGCCGGAGCUAACGCGUUAAAUAUGCCGCCUGGGGAGUACAG
RNAcentral lists this ribosomal RNA (625 nucleotides) under uncultured Acidobacteriota bacterium. RNAcentral's name for it is "SSU rRNA". It matches the Rfam family "Bacterial small subunit ribosomal RNA", at positions 242 to 885 of the family's 1533-position model. Lineage: Bacteria; Pseudomonadati; Acidobacteriota. The record is from RNAcentral.